Molecule: ribosomal RNA, 460 nt
Filed under: uncultured bacterium
Lineage: Bacteria
Description: partial 16S ribosomal RNA
Rfam family: Bacterial small subunit ribosomal RNA
Source: RNAcentral
CCUACGGAGGGCAGCAGGGAGGAAUAUUGGUAAAUGGGCGGAAGCCGGAACCAGCAUAGCAGCGUGCAGGAUGACGGCCCUACGGGUUGUAAACUGCUUUUAUACGGGAAUAACGCGCCUUACGUGUAGGGCUUUGCAUGUACCGUAUGAAUAAGGACCGGCUAAUUCCGUGCCAGCAGCCGCGGUAAUACGGAAGGUCCGGGCGUGAUCCGGAUUUAUUGGGUUUAAAGGGAGCGUAGGCCGCAUGUCAAGCGUGCUGUGAAAUGUCCGGGCUCAACCCGGGCCUGGCAGCGCGAACUGGCGUGCUUGAGUCCGCGGAAAGCAGGCGGAAUUCGUCGUGUAGCGGUGAAAUGCUUAGAUAUGACGAAGAACCCCGAUUGCGAAGGCAGCUUGCUGCAGCGGAACUGACGCUGAUGCUCGAAAGCGCGGGUAUCGAACAGGAUUAGAUACCCCAGUAGUC